ACUAACACAGACACUCACAGACACACACAGCGAGACAACACAGAGAUACAGAUGACACACACACACUCACAGACAUAUACAGCGAGACAACACAGAGAUAGAGGACACACAGACACACUCGCAGACACACAUGGAGAUAGAGACAGAGGCACAGACACAGACAUACACCAACACAGACACAAGCAGAAACACAGACACAGACACACACACACACACAAGGAGAUGCACAGAGACACAGACACACACACACACACCAACACAGACACAAGCAGAUGCAGAGACACAGACACACACACAUAGACACACACCAACACAGACACACAGAGACACAGGCACAUAUACACACACCAACAUAGACACAAGCAGAUACAGAGACACACACACACACGCACAGACACCAACACAGAUACAAGGAGAUACACAGAGACACAGGCACACACACACACAGACACACCAACACAGGCACAAGCAGAUACACAGAGACACAGGCAUACACAGAGACACACCAACACAGACACAUGCAGAUUGUGUGAGACAGACACACGUGCACACAAACUUCACCAACACGCACACACCCAAUAAUGAUAAAUGCUUCUCCACUUCUGUGUUUUGGUGACACUAAUAAUCUUGUACUUUCUUUGACACAGUAGCCCAUUUUCUGUUCAAAAGCAACAGAAAAAUAUGUCAUCUAGUUUACUGUUUUUAGAAUUGUAGGAUAUUUUUGUUUCAGCCUCAAUAAAAUUACUUCUAAGUCCUUCUAAGUUUUGAGUGUCUUCUAAUUUCUUCAUUCCUCUAAUGAAAGGUCCGGUCAUGUGUAGAUAUCACCCCUGUGGGGACCCCCUCACAUUGCACCUGACCUUGGCUGUGCUGCUGUCUGCCUGUGGAUGGAGUGGAUUGACAACGGUGGCAUUCACAUGAUGAGAAAAAUGCUCCUGGGGCCGCGCUCCUGGCGAAUGGCUUUGGAAAUCAACAAAACACAGUCCCACUUUUGUCUGUGACCAGUCUUCAUGGCAUAUCAGUUAGAGUGGUGUGCUAAAUUUUGAGACCAGGUGGACAGAAGUGAGUUAAAUGUUUUCAAGUGAUCAAUAAAGACAAAUACCUUUAUUGGGUACUCAUCUCAAGCUCUAGGAAUGGAAAAAUACAAAGAUGCGUAGUCCGUAUUACUCCUUCAAGGAGUUUAAUAAUUAAUUGAACAUAAAAUUCCUAUAUAUGUGUAUAAAUACAUAUAUUUUAAUACCUACACAAUGAAAACAUCAUUGUGUAGCAAGUAGUCCUGUAGGAAGGUUAAAACCUUGUUUUCAUCCUUAUCUUAUUUUUCUCACCUCUCGUAAUCCAAACUAUUGAAGGACAUUGUUGAAGCGAGUAACAAGGACUAAAGGACCAGAAGGUCACAAAAAAGAAUGCAUCACUGAAGAAAUAAAAAACUAAAUAAAUGACUCAACUUUUUCUCACAAAGCUAGUCAAUAAAUUCAAUGUUUUAAAUGUGACCUGUGGACACCAUUUAGACAGGUUUAGAAAUAUUGUAUGUUGUUGAAUCUGAGUCUGAAUGGAUUCAAUGACCUUGUGAAGGAAACAAUGACCCCUAUUUUGUCUAGUGAAACAUGUAGCAUUUACAAGCAGAACCUACUCCAAUUAAAAUAGAACUAAAAUUAAAUUACUUAAGCAUCCAGCAUACUAAAAAAACUAAAAUCAUCAUUUUACUCACAAGGUAGAAUCAACCUAAGUUAUUUAUCUCUGUAUCCAAUCCUUAAAUACUUCGU
RNAcentral lists this long non-coding RNA (1760 nucleotides) under Homo sapiens (human). RNAcentral's name for it is "non-protein coding lnc-AKR1E2-16:1". The record is from RNAcentral. Lineage: Eukaryota; Metazoa; Chordata; Mammalia; Primates; Hominidae.